Molecule: ribosomal RNA, 403 nt
Filed under: uncultured bacterium
Lineage: Bacteria
Description: partial 16S ribosomal RNA
Rfam family: Bacterial small subunit ribosomal RNA
Source: RNAcentral
GACGAACGCUGGCGGCGUGCCUAAUACAUGCAAGUCGAACGCAGUGGGGACGGGUGAGUAACACGUUGGUAACCUCCCAUCAGAGGGGAUAACACUUGGAAACAGGUGCUAAACCGAUACUGAUGGAUGGACCCGCGGUGCAUUAGCUAGUUGGUGAGGUAACGGCUCACCACGGCCACGAUGCAUCGCCGACCUGAGAGGGUGAUCCGCCCAACUGGGACUGAGACACGGGCCAGACUCCUACGGGAGGCAGCAGUAGGGAAUCUUCGGCAAUGGACGAAAUGCUGAACGAGCAACGGCGCGUGAGUGAAGAAGGUUUUCGGAUCGUAAAACUCUGGUGGUAGAGAAGCGGUAUCUAACCAGAAAGCCACGGCUAACUACGUGCCAGCAGCCGCGGUAAUUC